Molecule: ribosomal RNA, 500 nt
Filed under: uncultured bacterium
Lineage: Bacteria
Description: partial 16S ribosomal RNA
Rfam family: Bacterial small subunit ribosomal RNA
Source: RNAcentral
AUUGAACGCUGGCGGCAGGCUUAACACAUGCAAGUCGAGCGGGGAGAUGUAGCUUGCUACAUUUCCUAGCGGCGGACGGGUGAGUAAUGCUUAGGAAUCUGCCUAUUAGUGGGGGACAACAUUCCGAAAGGAAUGCUAAUACCGCAUACGCCCUACGGGGGAAAGCAGGGGAUCUUCGGACCUUGCGCUAAUAGAUGAGCCUAAGUCAGAUAGCUAGUUGGUGGGGUAAAGGCCUACCAAGGCGACGAUCUGUAGCGGGUCUGAGAGGAUGAUCCGCCACACUGGGACUGAGACACGGCCCAGACUCCUACGGGAGGCAGCAGUGGGGAAUAUUGGACAAUGGGCGAAAGCCUGAUCCAGCCAUGCCGGGUGUGUGAAGAAGGCGUUUUGGUUGUAAAGCACUUUAAGCGAGGAGGAGGCUACUUGGAUUAAUACUCUAGGAUAGUGGACGUUACUCGCAGAAUAAGCACCGGCUAACUCUGUGCCAGCCGCCGCAGUAA